UACGAAGGGGGCUAGCGUUGUUCGGAAUCACUGGGCGUAAAGCGCACGUAGGCGGCCACUCAAGUCAGAGGUGAAAGCCCAGGGCUCAACCUUGGAAUUGCCUUUGAAACUAGGUGGCUUGAACAUAGGAGAGGCGAGUGGAAUUCCGAGUGUAGAGGUGAAAUUCGUAGAUAUUCGGAAGAACACCAGUGGCGAAGGCGACUCGCUGGACUAUUGUUGACGCUGAGGUGCGAAAGCGUGGGGAGCAAACAGG
This 253-nucleotide ribosomal RNA is filed under the name uncultured bacterium. RNAcentral's name for it is "partial 16S ribosomal RNA". It matches the Rfam family "Bacterial small subunit ribosomal RNA", at positions 524 to 776 of the family's 1533-position model. The record is from RNAcentral.